RNAcentral lists this long non-coding RNA (18562 nucleotides) under Nicotiana tabacum (common tobacco). RNAcentral's name for it is "long non-coding RNA (NTAB_LNC003290)". The record is from RNAcentral. Lineage: Eukaryota; Viridiplantae; Streptophyta; Magnoliopsida; Solanales; Solanaceae.
GAGGGUUUUUCUUUCUCCCCAAGACAUUUUGGGAUAAAUAUCACCCCAUCACUCCAAACGAAGGAGGUCACGAAACAGAGGGAGUGAAAACGAGCGAGGAACAGAAUAGAAAAAAAUAGAGUGAGAGGGGAAUUGGGCGGAAUUAGAGAAAUAUAUGAAGGGACGGUGAGGAGAACGGACAGAGUUCAAGAGGAGAGAGCGGAAAAACCGAGUAUUGGAAAUUCCCUAGAGCUGUAGACUCUCAUCCUCACCGUAACUAAUUAUGUUUUUCCUUCUCAAUCCAGCUUCUCCAUAAAAAAUCAUCAUUAAAUAAACACCAUCCAACUACAACUAGUAAAUCUCAUAAAAACCCAGUAACACCACCUUGAAUAAAGAUUGGUAACCAUUAUUUCCCCCACCGCCAUGUGAAUCACCUACAACACCAGCAUCUUUCCCCUUCAUUGUUAGCUAGCCAAAUCCUUUGAGUUGAAACUUGGGGUAUUCAGAUCUAAAAAAAAGAAGUCGAGUCAGUUGAAGUCUUUCGUUAGAGGUUCUGGCCGCCGGUUCUAUUUGUUUGCCACGAGGUUCAAUACAUUUGGUUGAUUUUCUAAAGAGAUUUUCAGCAGCUUCAUAAGGUCUGCUCUCAUCUUACUUUUGUUGAUUUAUUUUUCAAUAAUUUAGUGUUGAAAUUGCUUGUUAUUAAUUCUCUGUUGAAUUUCGUGUUAGAUUAAAAUGUGAAAAUGCUUCUGCUUGUUUGUUUUAGUUUUAAUAUAAGAUGAAGAGGGUUAAAUUACAGCAACUCAUUUGAAUUUAAGUGUUUAGAUGCUAUUCUAAAAUAAAGAAUAUUAGUUAGAGUAUAUUGGAAAUAAAAUGACGUAAAGCAUUGAUGCAAAAUUUUAGAGUAACAAGGUGUGUCGUGGGGUUCGGGAAUUAAAAAGUAAAAAUUAAUUUAUUAAUUUGAUCGCUAGGAGCAUAUUUAGGUCGUAACUUGGCUAGGCAAAUCUUAGGUUUUCUUUAUUUUAUUUUUAUUCGAGGCGAGAGGUCGUUCCCUUUAGUUCAUAUUUAGGGAAAUGCCCUGUAGACUUUGUAUAUAUUUUUAUCCGGGGUAUGCCCCGUAGUAUCAUGUAUUUGGAGGCCGUGACAAACCUCAUGGAAAAGUAUAGUAUAUAUUAGUAUUUAGGAUUUUACUUUACUUUUCUUUUUCUAUUUUUUUUAUUAGGUGGGGACGACCUCGAUCCUUUCUUGUGUUUACUUUCCUUUUUCUGUGUUUUAACCUCAAUUUGAAUAUUUUAAAAGCUAACUGGAUCAUAUAUACAAUCGUGAUUUUCACGGGACUCGGGGAAUGUCUAACACCUUCUUCCCAAAUUAAAUGAACCCCCUUAUCUAGAAUCUCUAGUGCAGACUAUGUUUUAGAGUCUAAAUGUGUUUUCAAAAGGAAAAUCAUUUUUUAACGGUGACCUGGUACACCGAAAUCAAAUGUCAGGUGGCGACUCUGAAAAUCCUUUGAAACACAUCUUUUGUCACUUUCUAAUUGAAAAUCCUUUUGAGCUUCAAAAAUCCUUUUAUCUAUUUUUAAAAGGUAUUGAGUGUGAAAAAAGGGGUGUGACACCCCCUAGGCGAAAAAGUUCUACUUGGGUUAAGCUACGUAAAGCAAGCCUGGGCGAAGAGUACUUCUACCCGAAACUAUGAGCUGAAUCCCCCUAGGUAAAAAGUUUCUACAUGGGUUAAGCUACGAAAAUGGGAGGUAUGAACAGUAGUGAUGCAUGCUGCAAAUAAACAAAAAUGGAGAUUUUAAGGAGCUUAUAUUUGAUGAUAUUCGUCCUUUGAGAAUCGCCAUUCUGCACUGCUUUGAUCCUGUUUCAAACAAAGAAAAAUUUGUGAGUUUUUAAAGUGUUGGUCGGUUUGUGGCCUUGAUGUCCUGAGUUGUUUGAAUUCACAGCCACUCUGCUGUCGAAGAACUGAUUUUGUCAGUGUGGUACCGAGGUUCUCGGCUACUCUGUAUCGCUUUCUGGAGACAUUGUCUUUCUGACGUUGCCCCUGGCUGUUUCAUACCCAGAUGUCCAUGGUACCGCUAAUCCUUAUGCCUAAGGCAAGGCAAUUUUCCUUUAAAAUCAAACUUAGUUGUCUAAACAAAAGGUGUCCCUUUCGGGGAGAGGAAUAUGGAGACUUAUCUGGAGGCGUGUGCCGACUUCAAUUAAUCAUAACAUGCAUUUUGGACUGGACACCUGAUCCAUCUGAGCUCUCUAUUUCUCAAAAUCUGUCGCAAAUGUUCAUCUUAAAACUGUUUUGGUUGUGCUCAUGCCAGAGCAUCAAAGACCCUUAUUCGGCUAGUAGCGCCCUUUGCGGGUUUCGCUAACUAACCUCUCUCAUUUCUCUACUCAUCGUCGCCUUACAGUGCCUAUACGAGUUUUCACCGAUAAGACUCUCAUUUCUUUUUUUCUUUUCUUUUCUUUCUUUUUUUCUUUUUUUGACUAAGAUACUGUAUGCGGAAGGUUGCCCAACGCUCUUGGCAUGGGGACUUCAAACAUUCUCAAAGAUCGAUCAGAAGUUCCUAAUAGGGAAAAGGCAAAAAGAACCUUGAACUGAAUUACAACUUUUGUAGUCGGUUUUAUAGGAAAAAUCGUAAAAUAAAACAAAUUUCUGCCCCAGUUUUGGAGUAUUGGGAAUAUGGAUUUUUAUUGUGAUGUGACCGAACCCAGGGUAAGGCUGCUUACGUAUCCUUUCGGAAUCAGGUCGGACGUAGUUCAAUGAACUCAGAAGGUUUGUUAUUUGAUCCUUUUUUUCUUUUUUUUAAAAACAAGUACAUGGUUCCAAAAUAGGGAAAACGAAGAAGACAAAUACGACUCAAAAGGUUUAACAAAAUGUUGACACCUAUUUGGGAUAGAGGCCAAUAAUAACGUUCGUCAUUUCGAUCUGAGAAAAUAAUGCGUGAAAGUUCUGCAGUGGGUAUAUAUCAAAUAUAAUAUCUUUUGACUGCAUCUGCGUUAAUCGUCAUGUCUGGUACCCGUUCUUCUUCAUCAACCAAGUGCAAGGCCCCUUUUGGAAACACUUUCUUGAUGAUGUAAGGUCCUUGCCAGUUCGCGGCGAACUUUCCUUUAGCUUUUACUUGGUGUGGAAGAAUGCGUUUCAAAAUGAUUUGGCCUACCUCAAAGUGUUGUGGACACACUUUCUUAUUGUAAGCGCGUGCCAUUCUUUGCUGGUAUAAUUGGCCAAAAUAUAUUGCUGCUAGUCGUUUUUCAUCAAUCAGCAUCAGCUAUUCCAAAUGGGUCUUUACCCAUUAUGUAUCUUCAAUCUCCGAUUCCACAAUGAUCCAGAGAGAGGGAAUUUCAAAUUCGACCGGUAUUACAGCUUCCGUUCUGUAUACCAGUACAUAAGGAGUUGCACCAAUAGAUAUGCGAGCAGUCGUGUGGUAUCCCAAAAGAGCAAAAGGCAAAAUUUCAUGCCAUUGUCGGGAACCUUGGAUCAUGUUUCUAAGAAUCUUCUUGAUGUUCAUGUUUGCCGCUUCAACGGCUCUAUUGGCUUUAGGCCGGUAAGGGGUAGAAUGGUGAUGUACAAUGUUAAAUUGCUUGCAUACCUCCUUCAUCAAAUGUCUAUUUAGAUUGGCUGUAUUGUUAGUGAUAAUGGUCUUUGGAAUACCAAAGCGACAGAUGAUGAUGGAAUGAACGAAGUCUACCACUGCUUUCUUGGUGACUGCUUUGAAAGUGACGGCCUCCAUCCACUUUGUGAAGUAAUAAAUUGCAACCAAAAUGAAUCUAUGCCCAUUUGAAGCCUUUGGCUCGAUUGGCCCAAUAACAUCCAUUCCCCAAGCAACUAAAGGCCAAGGAGAGGAUAUGGGAUGCAACUCCGAAGGAGGCGAGUGGAUCAGGUCACCAUGAAUUUGGCAUUGGUGACUCUUGCGAACAAAACUGAAGCAAUCUCGCUCCAUUGUAAGACAAUAAUACCCUGCCUGUAGAAUCUUCUUCGCCAAAACAUAUCCAUUCAUGUGAGGUCUGCAUACCCCCGAAUGCACUUCACUUAUGAUCCGCUCAGCUUCUGUGGCAUCUACGUAUCUCAACAAGUUCAAAUCUGGGGUCCUUUUGUACAAAAUUUCCCCAUUCAGGAAGAAACUGCCGGCGAGCCGCCUUAUAAUUCUUUUUUGAUCUCCCUUGGCAUGCUUUGGGUAUUCUCUUUUUUUCAGGAAUCAUUUUAUGUCAUGAUACCAUGGUUCACCAUCUGGUUCUGUCUCAAUUGUAUUACAGUAACCGUGUUGAUUCCGAACUUGGAUUUCUAGUGGAUCGAUAUGAGUGUUGCCCGGAUAAGGGAGCAUUGAGGCUAAAGUAGCCAAAGCAUCGGCUAGCUCAUUAUGAAACCGAGGAAUGCACCUGAAUUUGAUGGAUUUGAAUCUUUUGCUCAGGUCUUGUACACAUUGUCUGUAUAGAAUAAACUUGAUGUCUCGAGUCUCCUAAUCGCCUUGGGCUUUCCGGAUAAGCAGGUCGGAAUCUCCCAUAACCAAUAGUUCAUGCACAUCUAGAUCGAGGGCCAUUUUCAAACCCAUGAUACAAGCUUCGUAUUCUGCCGUAUUAUUGGUACAGAAGAACCGAAGUCAGGCCGUUGCAGGGUAAUGCUGUCCAAUAGAUGAGAUGAGGAUUGGCUCGAUCCCAACUCCUUUGAUAUUGACAGCACCAUCAAAAUACAUUUUCCAUACAGGGUUAUCGUCCGGAACUACUUCCUCUAUUGAGUUGACCUCUUCGUCUGGGAAGUAUGUGCUAAGUGGUUUGUAAUCAUCAUCAAUUGGAUUUUCUGCCAAAUGAUCGGCCAAAGCCUAUGCUUUAAUCGCGGUGCGAGUGACGUAUGAUGUCAAACUCUGUGAGCAGGAUUUGCCAUUUUGCGAGCCUGCCAGUGGGCAUUGGCUUUUGGAAGGUGUACUUCAGAGGAUCCAUUCUGGAUAUGAGGUAAGUAGUGUAGUCCAAAAUAUAAUGUCUCAACUUCUGAGCGACCCAAGUCAAGGCACAACAUGUCCUUUUUAAAAGGGUGUACUUAACCUCAUAAUUGGUGAACUUCUUGCUCAAAUAAUAGAUUGCCUGUUGCAUCAUGUUGCCCCAGAACGCAUCCAAAGGAAUUAUCCAUCACCGAUAGAUAUAAAAACAAAGGCCUACCAGGUUCAGGUGGGACCAGUAUAGGGGGUUUUGACAGAUAAUAGUUUAUCCUGUCAAAAGUAUUUUGGCAAUCGUCCGUCCACUUGGUAGAAACAUCCUUUUUCAGAAACUUAAAAAUGGGCUCACACGUGGUUGUGAGCUGAGCAAUGAACCUACUGAUGUAGUUCAACCUCCCAAGCAAACUCAUGACUUCCUUUUUGUUCUUCGGGGGUGGAAGAUCUCGAAUGGACUUUAUCUUAGAUGGAUCCAAUUCGAUGUCUCUCCAGCUGACUGUAAAACCGAGGAGUUUCCCAGAUGGAACCCUAAAUGCACAGUUGGAUAGAUUAAGCUUAAGGUCAUAUCUUCGAAGUUGUUCAAAGAACUUUUCCAAAUCGCGCACGUGAUCAGCCUGUGUCUUUGAUUUUAUGAUGACAUCAUCGACAUAUACUUCAAUCUCGUUGUGCAUCAUGUCGUGAAAAAUGGUAGUCAUGGCCCUCAUGUAAGUUGCCCCUGCAUUAUUCAAACUGAAUGGCAUGAUCUUGUAACAAUAAGUACCCCAUGGAGUGGUGAAAAUGGUCUUUUCUGCGUCAUCCUCAUUCAUUAGAAUCUGGUGGUACCCAUCAUAGCAAUCCACGAACGACUGUAUCUCAUGCUUUGCGCCAUUAUCUACAAGAAUGUGGAUGUUUGGCAAAGGAAAAUUAUCCUUCGGACUUGCUUUGUUCAGGUCUCUGUAGUCAACACAGACUCUAGUUUUUCCUUCCUUCUUUGGCACAGGCAUAACAUUUGCCACCCAGGUGGUGUAUUGGACAGCUUUGACCACAUUGGCGCUUAGUUGCUUCAUUAUUUCCUCUUUGAUAUUGUCACUCAUGUCCGUUUUAAAUUUUCGUUGCUUUUGUUGGAGUGGUGGAAAAUCAGGAUACGUGAGAAGCUUAUGAACCACUAGAUCAGCACUUAAACCCGGCAUAUCAUCAUAAGACCAAGAAAACAUAUCUUUGUAUUCAAAUAAAAUUUGAAUCAAGGAAUCUCUGGUUUUUUGUUCAGUGUGAAUGCUUAUCUUUGUUUCUCUAACUUCUUCCUGACUUCCGAUAUUAAUUGGCGCAGUUUCAUUGAGGCUGGGCUUAGACUUGUUUUCAAAUUGUUCCAACUCUCUUUUUAUUUCCUCAACAGCCUCAUCUUCAUCAUACUCAACCUCUUGAUGCAUUAUUUCGAAAUUAGACAGCUUUUUAACAUCCGAGCGUGAAUUCUGCAUGCAUGUCAUGUUAUUAAAGCCGGCAUUAACAAAACUGAAAUGGAAACAAAAUGACAAGAAUUAGGAGAAGGAAAAGAUACAAAACUUAAUACGAAACUGAACUACAUUUCAUUGAAUUUGAAAGUAUAGAAAGGUUAACAACAAAAACAAUCAUACUGAGAUGUUUGGAUUACAACCCUGGAAGUAACCCAAAGUACAAAAAAGAAGGUGCAAAAGCAAACUACCAAGACUCCUUCCUUGUGGGGAGAGUAGUUGCUUUCCAGUUGUUGAGCAUAGUGUCUGGGCCAAUUAGUUGCAUAUCGGCACGACUAGUGCCUUCACCAGCAUGGAUCAUAUUCACUUCAGAAAAUAUCCGGCUGAGGCCAUGGCAAAUUUCAUCAAUGUUUGCAUGCGCCGAGGAACUUUGACCCUCUUUGAGUCGUGGCUUGACAAAAGUGUGGAAAAUGUGAGAGAUAGGUUGCUGCAAGACCCACCCAUGCUUUUGGCGGUGCUUGGCUUUGUCUUCGUCUGUUUGUGUUGGCCUGAAGCCUAAACCAAAAGUACCCUUAUUACUGAACGGAGAAAUGUGUUCUGAAAUUCCUUGCAAUGAUGCCCCUAAGCCUUUUCCUGGCUCAUAACCUUGUCUCAUCAUUAGUGCAGCCACCAUUACAGAUGUGGCAGAGAGACGAGGAUGCAGAAUGGGCUUUCCUUCCUCAACAUGGUCUACAAUAAUCACUUCGAAAGCCUGAUAGACAAUAGACUCACAUCCUUCCUUGGCCUCAAUACACGGAAUUAACGGGUCUUUAUAAAUGGAUGACUCGUCUUCUCCGUGAACAAUAAUUUCUUGCCUGUCGUAUUCGAAUUUGAGCAUCUGAUGCAAGGUGGAUGGCACAACCCGGGCCGUAUGGAUCUAUGGACUUCCGAGAAGAAAGUUAUAAGAAGUUUCCAUGUCCACUACCUGGAAGACAAUUUCAAAAUCAACCAGGGUAAUCGUCAUGGUGAGGUUGAUCUCCCCAAUGGUAUCUUUCGCUGAGCCAUCAAAAGCCUGGAUGCGAACAUUGCUGGGUCGGAUUCUGUCUGUGUUGAUCUUCAUGCUUUGCAAGGUAGAGAGAGGGCAUACAUCUACACUCGAGCCUCCAUCAACCAUGACUCGCUUUACAUAAUGCCCAUCACAUUCGACAAUAUGGUGCAAAGCCCUAUUGUGCCCGGCUCCCUCCUCGGGAAGUUCAUCAUCAGUAAAGGAGAUUUUAUUCACCUCAAAAAAUCUGUUGGUCAUCUUCUCUAACUGAUUCACGGUGGUCUUCUCUGAGACAUGUGCCUCGUUCAGGAUUUUGAUUAGUACACGAGCAUUUUCUUCUGAGUGUAUGAGCAAAGAUAACAGAGAGAUUUGGGCAGGAGUCUUUCUCAACUGGUCAAUGAUUGAGUAAUCCUGAACAUUCAUCUUUUUCAAAAACUCCUCCGACUCUUCUUCCGUGACCGGUUUCUUUAUUGGCAUUUGGCCUUCUUUGAUUUGCUUGGCCUUCCUCAACUCUUCUGGAGAGUAACACCUCCCCGAUCGAGUCAAACCUCCAGUUUCCCCCACUUCUUUAUGAUUUCCUUACCUUUGUAGGUUACCACAGUUUUGUUGUAGUUCCAAGGAAUGAUUUUCGUGUUUGUCACACAGGGUUGUAUGGCAGACUUGAUUAUGGUCGGCUGUGUUAUACCCUUCAUACCACCCUGAUUCUGAUUUGUGAUUGGGUGACCUCCACGGACAUACAACUUUGGGCUUGGAACAUUGGAGCGAACUUCCAACCUCAAGAUUUUUGGAACAAAUAAAGUUGCCUUCCCUGAGCUUUGGGCGCCUUUCACAAUCAAUGGCACAUCUCGGCUUGGACUUACUUCCAGUCCUAUUCCUUCUUGAAUCGCUCCCACUGUAAUUUAUGCUCGGCCAAUCGACUUGUAUUCUUGAUCUCGGCCGAUCAUUCCCACAAAAUGAAAAUCGUUGUGUGCUGGCAGUGGGUUAUUCGUAACAUUAGGAGGGUCUUCGCUAUUUGUUACCACAAUCAACCUUUCCGCGAUGAGUCUUUCUAUGUCUCUUUUCAGAGUCCAACAGUCAUUAGUGUUAUGCCCUGGGGGUACCUGAAUGAUAUUCAUAUAUAGCAUUUUCUUGAAAUCCAUGUGAAUCGGGAUGCAUAUGGUGGGGAGCAAUGGGUCCAAUCACACCCAUCUGAUUUAGCUUCUGAAAUAGACUAGAGUAUGAUUCAGCUAAUGGAGUGAAUUUUUCCACCGUCCUCUACUCUCGACCAUAAUUCUGCCUGGGACGAGCAUUGUAGGGUGCUCAAAAAUUUUGCUGCUGAGGUCGGGGGAUCCUUGGAGCUGGUGCCCGUACCUGUUGAUUGGGAGGCCGAGCAAAUGAUUGAGCAUUAAAUACUGUAUACUGUGGUGGGCCCACAGAGUAUUUUGUAAUUGGCGGGGGAUAAUAAUGUUGAGGGUAGCUGGAUUGCCCCUGCUGAACUUGCGCCUCAGGGUGAGAUGCCCCUAUUUGAACUUCCCUGGAUCCCGAAGUCAUCAUGGACCCUUCAUCCCUCUUCUUUCUAUUUGCCAAACUUCCCGACCCAUUUUGGAUAGCUUGGGUGGUGGCUUUGAGAGCCACUUGACUUACAAUUCUGCCAGUCUUGAGGCCAUUUUAGACCGUCUCUCCUAUUUUGAUCGCUUCUGCAAAAGGUCUACCCAUGCGGACAUCAUGUUUUCAAAGUAAUCAGGCUUUUGAGCCUCCAGAAAAAUACUAAUUAACUCGUGGUAAUCCAUGGGUGGCUUAACUCUAGCCGCUUGCUCCCUCCACUUGAUUGCAUACUCCCUAAAGCUUUCAGUCGGCUUUUUCUUCAUAUUGGACAGGGAAUUGCAAUCCGACGCAAUAUCAAUGUUGUAUUGAAAUUGUUUGAUGAAGGCCUGGGCCAUGUCGUCCCAGACAUACCAGUGAGAGAUAUCUUGGUCAAUGAACCAUUCGGAGGUUACCCCUACAAGACUUUUCCCAAAAUAAGACAUCAGCAAUUCUUCUUUUCCCCUGUACCCAUCAGCUGGUUGCAAUACCUUUUCAAGUGAGCGAUAGGGUCACCGUGUCCAUCAUACUUCUCAAAUUUUGGGGUCUUAAACCCUGGUGGCAAAUGGAUUUGAGGGAACAUGCAUAAAUCACUGAACGAAACACUUUUGUGACCACCUAGUCCCUGUAUGUUCUUUAUGUUCUGUUCAAAACUUUUCAUUUUCCUGUCGAUCUCAUCCGGCUCAACCGUCUUGGCAGGCUUUUCAUUUUCCACUAGUGACUCGUACUGAGGGGUCUGAUUGUAUGGAGACGAGACACCGAAAGCCAUAUUUGGAGAGUAGUAUUGGCCAUCAUAAGCAUGAGAUGGUGUCUCAUUGUUUGGCCUCAUCACAAGAGGUGGUGGCCGGAUUGUGUAUACUGGUGCGCCAGACACGACUAGAGGAGUGUUCCUGACCGGUGCGACUGGAGGUCGCACAUUAUAGGUACCAGGAGCAGCAUGGAGGUUGUAGUUUGGCACAUACCCUGGUGGUAGAAUGCGAUCGCUCAUUGCAUGGAGUGGUGUUUGCGUAGCCAGGGGUACGGUGGAAGUUCCCUCCGAGGGACCCCAGGGUGGAGGCUGCCCAGAAACCCAAGCUUGAUAUACAUUAGGUAAUUGCUGUCUCAAUUUUCUUAUUUCCUCCGACUCUUUCUCAACUGACUGACCCUGGGGGUCGUUGCUGACCAGCUCGAUCUCAUCAUCGUUAGCCAUUACUAUCGUUCCCUUAGAUCUGGUGAAGUAAUGAUGUGUUACCAGUUUCACUACAAACCAACCACCUUAAGCUUACUAUAUAAGAGGCAACAAACGUGUUAGGGUUAAGCAUUUUACAGAUACGAAUCACACGUAAAUAUGCUAUGCUCCUAAAAUUAUCACCAUCUCUAACAUGCUUUUGGAAGGCUUCAUGUUUCAUUCCGGCUUAUAAGGCUGCUCCUCUUUUUUCACUUUUCUUUUCACUCACCUCAUUUUGAUCCCUCAUUUUAGAGUCAUUGAAAAAUAUUUGAUCAAACCUUUUGGGGGUUGCCUACGUAUCAUGUCGCCGCAUGAAUCAGAUCAUUACGUAGUUCAGGGACAUGACAAUUUCUUUUAAUACAAGAACUAAAAACAAAAAUUACAUAAAGACGAACCUCUAAACAAGACCAGACUAGACUAAAAAACAGACGUUUUUAAGAUGAAAAGCGAAAUAACAAGACUCAACACACAAAAAGACACUUACAGACUCAAUGACAACAAAUGAACAAUAAAAAUGGACUGCCAAGUAAAAGAGACUAUGAUCUUUGCAGGAGAAUCCAACGACAUCACUGUAGUCAAGGCACUUAUUCCUGCGGCUGACCCCCAACAUCACGCUAUAUCCUCUCUAAGUCUGCAGAUAUGUGACGGGCGACGUUCAUUGAUACUUCUGCAAACCGCUCAGGCAUCAUUCUCUAGCAACUCCUGCAUGCUCGGGAGGUGUAUGUGGCUACCUCAAGGAUCUUUCCCUUAAUAUGUUCCUGAGCUAAAUGCAACUCUUGAUUUCAUUGACCACGGGUCUCGGCUAGAUCCAGCGCAUCAUGCUCGCGCUCCAAGGCCAUAUCUCUCUGGCAUCGAAUUUCUAGUGACUCCCCCUCCAACCGAUUGAUCAUACUUUGGUUGCGAUGUCUUUCUAUUUCAAACUCCGCGAUCUGGCGUGUCACGCCCUAAAAUCGAUGAGCGCGAUCGACGCUCAAUCGAGUGAACCCGACCGAGCAAGCCUGUUAGAUUUACUUCUACCCAAACUAACAUAGUUUGUCUUUCCCAGCACCAAUACGCAACCACUAUGUCUACGGAGCCUCUAUAGAUAAGGAAGAGUACAAUGAUAAUGCUGGCAACAAGGCCCCGGCUAUACCUCAAACAGAAUACACAAGGAACAAAAGAUACAUGGCCCCGGAAUGAAGUGGGGCUCACCAAGUCAGUUGGGAAGAAGGUGUGCUGCUAUCACUGAUCAAUACCUCCUGCCGUGGAACCACCUGCAUCCAUUUAAAGAUGCAGCACCCCCGGCAAAAGGGACGUUAGUACCGUCGAAUAGUAAUAAUAUGAAAACCAAACACCAAUUUAAGAAUUUAGAAAUACAAUAUGAAUAUGAUGAAUCAUGACGACAAUAGAAUGAUAUAGCUAACCGUUUAAACCAGAGCAAGCUUAUUAAGAGCUAUCAAUAUCAUUUAUAGGAUUUAAGAUGAGAUCCUCUAUAACCAUCCUCAAACAAAGCGGCCCCGCCGCCUCACCUGAUGAAUGCAGGUGGAGGUGUAAGUAUAAUACCACAACUCUACUCAAGUGGCCCGACCGCCUCACCCCAAUGUGUGCGGGUAGAUGUAUAACCACAAUACCAAGAACCUACAUAAAGCGGCUAUGCCGCCUCACCCCAAUGUAUGCGGGUGGAAAUGUAUCAACGAUAACAAUACCUACACAAAGCAACUAUGUCGCCUCACCCCAAUAUAUAUAUGGGUGGUGGUGUAACAACAAUACCAAAACUAUACAUAAAGCGGUCGUACCGCCUCACCCCAAUGUAUGCGGGUGGAGUUGUAAUCCCACAAUACCAUAAUCCCUACACAAAGCGGUCAUGCCACCUCACCCCAAAAUAUACGGGUGGAGGUGUGUCACAAUCAUAAUCUCUACACAACUUUGCAUAAUAACUUCCACAUUAAUCACGACUUGAAAUUAUAACAUGUGCAUACACAAUUCAUAUUUUUGGAACACAUCCUCAACUUAUAAUGUAAUAUGAUAAGAGCAUUUGAAACACGAAUUGAACGUAUAUCUUUAUCACAAAACUUAUCGGAAUACUCGAUUUGUCAUCAAUAUCUUGGAACUUAGAAAAAAAAAAGGGAUUCCAAUUCAUAAAGAAGAGUUUAGCCAACAUACCUCACUUGAGCUUUCUUACACUCUAAAUGUUCUGGAAUUCUUAGCAACUUCAAUAUAUUUUAGAAAUAUAACAAGCUGAACCAAAAUGAGGAAGACGAUCAUGGUUAUAGCUCAUUUGAGCAUUUUAUCAAACACUAGGUGUGCAUAAAGUUUCAAGGUCUUUUUUAUGGAGAAUUUCAUCAUCCCACAACCCAAUAUUUACCAUUGUUAGCUCAACAAUCUUCCUACACCCUUUGAUAACACAUGCAUGUAAAAUAAACAACUCUCAUGCCCAAAAUUAUCUUGCUAAUUACCCACUUUUAGACAAAAUUCAAAAUUGAGGGUUAGGAUGUAGAAUCUUACCUCUAGGAUGAGGACCUAGUGAGUUUCCCUUCUUAGUCUUCCAAAACUUGAGCAAGGAUUGAAGAACAAUUAUUGAAGAACACCUUCUCACUCNNNNNNNNNNNNNNNUUCUCACUCUAGGGCACUCUCUCUCACUCUAAAAUAUCAGAUUAUAGCUCAAAAAUGACCAAAACGUGUAUUUAACGAAGUAGGGUCGGGUUUUUAAAACCCAAAAAUGAAGCUCCGAAACAAGUUCUGUGGUCGCAUAUACGACCCCAUAAUGGUUAUGUGGACCGCAUAUCGGUCGCAUAAUUGGUGUCCAAAACGAGCAAAUAUAUGUCCGUGUUUGCGGUCACUAUGCGGUUCGCAUAACUGUUCUGCGGUCACAUAGUGCACCGCAUAACAGUUAUGCGGUCGCAUAGUCGACCGCAUAAUUGCUUCCAACUGGCCCAAUUAACUGCCUCACUCUGCGGCCAUUAUGCGGUCCACAGAGUGAUUCUGCGAUCGCAUAAUUGGACCGCAGAAACACAUUUCAUUGCCAAACAUUUUCUUUUACAUUCCGGUGCAUUGUUCAACCCAAAAGGUUCGAGUCGCGGCGAGUAAUUUAUAAAAUCCUCAAACACGUAAGCCUAAUUCGGCACCACGAAACAUUAUUUUCUUUUUGCAAAUUUUUUACCGGGCUUUACACUUAAGUACUUCGAAAUUUUUCGGGGUAUUACAUUCUCCCCUACUUAGGAUCAUUCGUCCUCGAAUGAGGGUUAAAAUCUAUUAUUAUCAUCUUAUGCAACUCAGUUUUUCAUACCACACACCAGCUGUCCCAAAUUUGACUAACUCCCUAAAUUUCCAAAACUUUCGCCAGAAUUUCCUUUGUAACUAGGCCUAUCCAUGUGUUAGAGAGUUCUAGAAAUACAUCCUAAUAACAUAUAUACAUAAUCCAACGAUGUAACAUAAUACGAAACAAUAUUAACUGUGGCCUCAUAAGCAAUAUAUUUUCAGAAAGGAACACCCUUAAUGCUAAUUGUUCACAUGAUACAAAAUUCAUAAAAAGUAAGUCUUAUAAUUUUCCUAGAUCACAACUUUAUAAAUACAUGGUCAUUCAAACAAAUAAGGAUACUUUUUCUUCAUUUCUUCCUCGGCCUCCCAAGUAGCCUCUUCAACCUGUUGGUUUCGCCAUAACACUUUCACGGAGGCAAUUUAUUUAUUUCUUAAUUUUCGGACUUGCCGAUCAAUAAUAGAAAUCGAAAUCUCUUUGUAAGUCAAUUUCUCAUUUACCUCAAUAGUCUCAAUUGGAACAAUGACUUUCGGGUCUCCAACUACUUUCUUUAACAUAGAUACAUGGAACACCGGGUGUACUAAUGAUAUCUCAGGUGGUAGCUCAAGCUUGUACGCCAUCUCACUGAUUCUCUGAAUGAUUUUUUACGGUCCGACAUACCUCGGACUCAAUUUCCCUUUCUUACCAAAUCGCGUUACACCUUUCAUGGGGGAAACUUUCAAAAUACCCAAUCAUCUUCUUUGAACUCCAAAUCCCUACGUCGAACAUCCGAAUAGGAUUUCUGAUGACUCUGAGUAGUCUUCAACAACUCAUUAAUAAUUUUAACUUUUUCCAUAGCCUGAUGCACGCAGUCUGUCCCUAUCAACUCUGCUUCCCUAAUUUCGAACCACCCAAUGAGAGAUCUACAUCUCCUACCAUAUAAAGCCUCGAACGGUGCCAUUUGAAUGCUAGAAUGAUAGCUAUUGUUGUAUGCAAAUUCUAUGAGUGGUAAAUGAUCAUCCCAGCUACCUUUGAAGUCUAGAACAAAAGCACGCAACAUAUCCUCAAGCGUUUGAAUAGUCCGCUCUGCCUGCCCGUCAGUCUGCGGGUGAAAGAUUGUACUAAGAUUCACCUGAGUACCAACACCUUGCUGAAAUUUCUUCCAAAAAUUAGCAGUGAAUUGUGCCCCGAUCAGAAAUGAUGGAAAUUGGGGUGCCAUGCAACCUGACUAUUUCUUUGAUAUACAAAUGAGCAUACUGCUCCGCUGUGUCGGUAGACUUAACCGGCAAAAAGUGUGUUGAUUUCGUGAGUCGAUCCACAAUCAUCCAAAUUGAGUCAAACUUGCACGGAGUGUACGGUAAUCCUACCACAAAGUCCAUAUUAAUCAUUUUCCAUUUCCACAUUGGAAUUUCUAUGUUCUCUGCCAACCCAUCGGGCCGUUGGUGUUCGGCCUUCACUUUCUGAAAAUUCGGACAUCUUGCCGCAAAGUCCGCCACAUUCCUCUUCAUAAUAUUACACUAAUAGACUUCCUUAAGAUCAUGAUACAUUUUUGUAGACCCUGGGUGCACGGAAUAAGAGUUUAGCCAACAUACAUCACUUGAGCUUCCUUACACUCUAAAUGUUCUGGAAUUCUUAGCAACUUCAAUAUAUUUUAGAAAUAUAACAAACGGAACCAAAAUGAGGAAGACGAUCAUGGUUAUAGCUCAUUUGAGCAUUUUAUCAAACACUAGGUGUGCAUAAAGUUUCAAGGUCUUUUUUAUGGAGAAUUCCAUCAUCCCAGAACCCAAUAUUUACCAUUGUUAGCUCAACAAUCUUCCUACACCCUUUGAUAACACAUGCAUGUAAAAUAAACAACUCUCAUGCCCAAAAUUAUCUUGCUAAUUACCCACUUUUAGACAAAAUUCAAAAUUGAGGCUUAGGGUGUAGAAUCUUACCUAUAGGAUGAAGACCUAGUGAGUUUUCCUUCUUAGUCUUCCAAAACUUGAGCAAGGAUUGAAGAACAAUUAUUGAAGAACACAUUCUCACUCUUAGGGCACUCUCUUUCCCUCUAAAAGUCAGAUUAUAGCUCAAAAAUGACCAAAAAUGUGUAUUUAACGAAGUAGCGUCGGGUUUUAAAAACCCAAAAAUAAAGCUCCGGAACAGGUUAUGUGGUCGCAUAUGCGACCACAUAAUGGUUAUGCGGACCGCAUAUCGGUCGCAUAAUUGGUGUCCAAAACGACCAAAAAUAUGUCUGUGUCUGUGGUUACUAUGCGGUCCGCAUAACUGUUAUGCGGUCGCAUAGUGCACCGCAUAACAGUUAUGCGGUCGCAUAGUCGAUCGCAUAAUUACUUCCAACUGGACCAACUAACUACAUCACUCUGCGGCCAUUAUGCGGUCCGCAGAAUGAUUCUGCGGUCGCAUUAUUGGACCGCAGAAAUGCAUUUCAUUGACAAAUAUUUUCCUUUACUUUCUGGUGCAUUGUUCAACCCAAAAAGUCCGAGCCGCAGUGAGCACGAAUGCCCAAUUCGGCACCACGAAACAUUAUUUUCUUUUUACAAUAUUUUUACCGGGCUUUACACUUAAGUACUUCGAAAUUUUUCGGGGUGUUACAUGUCGCUCCUUGCUUGAAUCAACUCCCCCUAUCUGAUCCCUCAGACCUUGGAUUAAUGGAGCAAAACCUCUGCGCUUAUGAUCCCGGACCACCUUAAAUUGGGCUUCUCUUUCUUCAUGUUGUUGAGCGGUAGUGAUCACUUUUUUCUGUCUAAAUUAAGCUUUGAGUGCUCGCCUCUCUUCUGCCCACUGAGCCUUUUUCCGCUCGAAAUCAGCCCAUUGUAUGUCCAUGUCUUUUUCCAGAUUGCCCUUAUCUUCUUGUAAAAUGUCAAUACGAGAUUGGUACUCUUGUGCCACUUCCCUUCUGGUUACUCUAACUCUGGCCUUGAUCUAUUCCUCCCAAUCUAAUGCGUUCCGUAUGGCUCUUUCUGGCCUUUGCUCUAGGAUAGCCUGGUUGUGAAACCACUCAAGGUAUGUGAAGCUUACCUCCCCAUGUUCACGAUCAACUACCAUCUCGUCCAAGUCGGAAAAUCAACCACCGAACAAAACCUUUUGUGCAUGUGUCUCCCUUGGAAGUUCCUCUCCCUUGAAUUCCCACACAAACAGACGCAUGUCUUCAAUCGGGGGCCCUAGCUAGCGCAUGACACGUAGGGGUGCGUAGGGUUUGAAGCCUCAGAAACCCAUGAGUAUAAAGAAUGGGAGAUACGUCGACAUAUGCAUGACCCUAGUAGAAGGGAAUCAAUAAUAGUUACAAGUGAUUCUAUCAGCACUUAAUGAACCAAGUAAUUUUUGCCAGGCCCUCACCCCCUCUGGAAGAUUACAAUUCGCGGCCCUGUCCGGGUGAUAUCCAAUAUAAUUUAGCUAAUUAUCAUUGAAAUUUACUACUAUUGGAUGAUGAUAAAGGUGCUCUAUGAACCACAUCUACAGCAAAAUGUUGCAUCCCUCAAAGUAAUCUUUACCCUUUUGGUAACGGGUCAAAGCUCAAAAAAUAUCUCCCAGAAUCAUGGGAAGAAUGGUAUGAUCCUCACUACUUUGCAAAUAUAAGACUACCGCAGCCAAUCGAAUUCUGAUGUGCCCACCUCGCUCUGGAAAAACCAUGGCCCCCAGAAAUGAACGCGAAGAUUCUCAACUCCCUCCAUGCGUUGUAACUCAAUUGGUUGACGAAUUCUUUGCCCGAGAAGUUCUCAAACCCUUUCUCGUCCCCAAAUCUAUCAUAGAAAUAUUCCAACGAAACCCAACCUUUGUCCAAGCAACCCAUUGGAAUUCGACGGAGACAUAAAUUUUUCAAAAAGUUGUUCACACCAACUUUUCUUGGAGCAGCAGGCUUUUUCCCAUGAAGGUCUCUCCCCAAUCCGGUAAACCCACCUAAUUCUUCCAAUGUAGGCGUCAUUUCAAAAUCUUUGAACCUGAAGACAUUGUUUACGGGGUCCCAAAAUUCCACUAGGGACUCGAUUAAAUCUCUGUUAGGCUUAAUUCCCAUGAUGUUUGGGAGGAACCUGAGGUACUUAAAUACUUUAUUCCGUUCCCAUGUAGCAAAACCAAGUCAUCAAUUACGGAGAUUACUCGGGGUCUAAUCUCUGAUCAAGAACAUAGGAGGUGUCUCGUCCCUUACCUUUUUCUGACUACUUCUUUGUGAAAAAUUCAUGGUGAACCUAAGAAUAAGACAAAAAGGGGUCAUGACUUACCUAAACUAUAUGCAAAAGAUAAAAAAGGAUUAAGGCUCGUUUUGUUUUUUGAAAUUAGCCAACACAAAAGGUGAAAUGAUAAAAGUAGAAAAAAUGGCUAUUAUUACGAAAAUAACCCUCUGAUACUUCCACGGAAGGCUUAAAGGAUGUCUCGGCAAAAACGGCCAAAUAUAGGGACAAAAUGAUUAAAAGUAGUAAAAAUAAAUUAAAAGGCUAUUUUUACGAAAACGACCAUUCGGUACUCCCGAGGGAGGUUUAAAGGCUAUCUUGGCAAAAUGCCCGGAAUACGAGAGACAAAAUAGUAAAAGGUGACAAAAAUAGCUUCAUUUUUUUUUGAAAAAUGUUGGCUGAACCCGAUGGAGGUUUCCUACGUAUCUCACAUCCGGUGAGAAUCAAACUCGCGUAGUUCGGUGAAAUCGAGUAUUUUUCUCUUUUGAUUUUUAUGAAAAUUAAUCUUUACACCUCACGUGAGACUACUACAAAAAUCUCAAAAAAAAGGAUUAUUUCUACUAAACUAGGAGAGUGAUUUUUUUUUAAUUUUUUAAUUGUUUAUUAUUCAGCCCAACUAAUUUUCUAAAGUCGGUCAACAAUGCAAGCAAGUCUUCCAAAUGAUGUAACAAGUAGCACAUAACUAAACAUGAUGGUCUCAAAGAGGAUAUCCGGCAUGAGGUUUGUUCUUCUAGGUUAAUCUUUACACCUCACAUCAGACUACUACAAAAAUUUUAAAUGCAUGUGAUGCAAAUAAAGCGAACCUACUAGGGAUAUCCGGCAUGAGAUUUGUUCUUCUAGGUUUAAAUCCUAUUGGAGAAGGUAUCUAGACUGGCUUACUAGAGCGGACAACUCGAGCCGAUGAGGGUUAGUGUACCAGUAGUAUUGCUUUCCGGCUUAGCUAGUGGUGCUCCCCGCCUAAAACAUGUGUAACUAAAAAUUCUUCACCGGAUGACAAGCACCUCGGCUAUCUCAAAGAAAGCGGACUAUGUCAAGCAAAUGCCCAAUUUUUAUUUUCAAGAAGACUCAGAGGGGGUGCG